This 303-nucleotide ribosomal RNA is filed under the name Apocyclops borneoensis. RNAcentral describes it as "partial 28S ribosomal RNA". Lineage: Eukaryota; Metazoa; Arthropoda; Copepoda; Cyclopoida; Cyclopidae. The record is from RNAcentral.
UGUGUGGUGGUAAACGGAGGCGUUCUCGAAGUCGGAGCUGGAGGUUCAGGUUAACGUGUGGGCUGCUGGGGCGUACGGGACCCGCAAGGACUCUGCGUUUUGGUAGGUCUGCUCGGUGGCUGCAUUUCUCCAGCUCUUCACGCAACGAACCACUGGGACUGGACUGAGGGCGUGGGUGAAGUUCGCGACUUCGUUGUGAGCCCCGCGUCUCUAGCUUUGGACCCGGCGGGUAGCUAAGGGGGCUCGUAUAGCGAGUGUCAUACUGGCACGGCCCCCAUCUCUGUUGCGAGUAGGUCGGCGGAA